CAAACAGCAACAAUAGUUUGUGAUGAACAAAUGUAUAUUCAUUGAUGAUAUCAGAAAAAGAUUGAGUUUGUGAACUAUUCUAUCCUGGUGUUUGAUAACUGUCAGCUAUUUAACGAGGAUGACUCAGAAGUAGGUCAGUGUGGACACAAAAUGCACGCGUUCUUCAUGAGGCGCUGGAAGGAGGUGCUCUUUGAGGACAUGACAGAAAGCGUGUGAUGGCUCUACUAUGCUAACUCAAGAAAUCAUGAGUGAUAUAAAUGAAGAAAAAUACAGCAAAUGAUGUUUGGUGCGCUGUAACUUUGGCUUGGUGUUAAACUCUUGCCACAAAGCGAAAUUGACAUUGAUGGGAAGAUCCUUUGGAAAGUAUGUGCAUCAUCGCCUGCCUGAUGUAUGGACUUUUAUACAUGGUUUUUACCCUGCACGAGCUGGCAAACUUGAGGGGAAAAAGUAUGGGAAAACCUCGCCCUGUCCUUGACCAAGAAAGCUCGAUUUGUUGAGAGAUCAACUGGCGUAAGAGAUGCUCAAGAGGAGAAGGACACAAGCAGCAUCAAUGGUACAUGUCGCUCCAGCGCCUGCUUUCCAGAUCUCUCUACCAGCUGCUUUCCAGGUCCCUCCACCCGCCAAGAUCAGGUCUAGGUCCCUGCACUGGCUGCUGUCCAGGUCCACUAGCGGUCAAGGUCUCUCCAGUGGCUGCUGUGCAUGUCCCAACACCGUAUGCCGUCAAGGUCCCUCCAUACACUGAAAUCCAGGUUCCUCAUUCCACUGCGGUUCAGGUACCUCCAACAGCUGAGAUCCAGGUCCUGCAGCAGCUGCGGUCUAAAUACUCCACCCGCAGUGGUCCACUACGGUCAACCUUUUGCUUUAAAAUCUUCCAUAAAUAUCUAUUAUUGUAUAAUGUAUUGUAAAAAUAAUCUGUUUGUAUUAA
This is a long non-coding RNA of Dreissena polymorpha, 925 nucleotides long. RefSeq lists it as uncharacterized. The transcript is spliced from 4 exons. Lineage: Eukaryota; Metazoa; Mollusca; Bivalvia; Myida; Dreissenidae. The record is from RefSeq and is a predicted model, not a curated record.